CAUACUUACGUUGCCUCGGCAGGUCGCGCUACCUCGUAGCACCCUACCCUGUACGGCCUACCCGGGAGACGCGGGUAAGUCUGCCGGCGGCCCAUGAAACUCCUGUUUAGCAUUGAAUUCUGAAUAUAUAACUAAAUAAGUUAAAACUUUCAACAACGGAUCUCUUGAGUUCUGGCAUCGAUGAAGAACGCAGCGAAAUGCGAUAAGUAAUGUGAAUUGCAGAAUUCAGUGAAUCAUCGAAUCUUUGAACGCACAUUGCGCCCAUUAGUAUUCUAGUGGGCAUGCCUGUUCGAGCGUCAUCUCAACCCUUAAGCCUCUGUUGCUUAGUGUUGGGAGCCUACAGCACUCGUUGCUCCUCCAAGUUUGUGGCGGAGUCCGUUCACACUCUAGACGUAGUACCUUUAUCUCGCCUAUCAGUCGGACCGGUCCCCUGCCGUAAAAGCCUUCUUUCUUAAGGUUGACCUCGGA
RNAcentral lists this ribosomal RNA (468 nucleotides) under Xylaria sp. 4 UFMGCB 4728. RNAcentral describes it as "eukaryotic LSU rRNA". The stretch from base 145 to 299 matches the Rfam family "5.8S ribosomal RNA". The record is from RNAcentral. Lineage: Eukaryota; Fungi; Ascomycota; Sordariomycetes; Xylariales; Xylariaceae.